GGGAAUGUGACUUAAAGGUAGAGUGCUUGCCUAGCAUGCAUGAAACCCUGAGUUCAAUUUCUCGGUACCA
RNAcentral lists this transfer RNA (70 nucleotides) under Dipodomys ordii (Ord's kangaroo rat). It matches the Rfam family "tRNA". From Rfam's summary of the family: Transfer RNA (tRNA) molecules are approximately 80 nucleotides in length. Their secondary structure includes four short double-helical elements and three loops (D, anti-codon, and T loops). The record is from Rfam by way of RNAcentral. Lineage: Eukaryota; Metazoa; Chordata; Mammalia; Rodentia; Heteromyidae.